UACGGGGGGGGCAAGCGUUGUUCGGAAUUAUUGGGCGUAAAGAGCGUGUAGGCGGCUUUACAGGUCCGUUGUGAAAACUCGAGGCUCAACCUCGAGACGCCGGUGGAAACCGUAAGGCUAGAGUCCGGAAGAGGAGAGUGGAAUUCCUGGUGUAGCGGUGAAAUGCGCAGAUAUCAGGAAGAACACCCGUGGCGAAGGCGGCUCUCUGGGACGGUACUGACGCUGAGGUGCGAAAGCGUGGGGAGCAAACAGG
Molecule: ribosomal RNA, 253 nt
Filed under: uncultured bacterium
Lineage: Bacteria
Description: partial 16S ribosomal RNA
Rfam family: Bacterial small subunit ribosomal RNA
Source: RNAcentral